Molecule: ribosomal RNA, 325 nt
Filed under: uncultured Pseudomonadota bacterium
Lineage: Bacteria; Pseudomonadati; Pseudomonadota
Description: bacterial SSU rRNA
Rfam family: Bacterial small subunit ribosomal RNA
Source: RNAcentral
AUUGAACGCUGGCGGGAAUGCUUUACACAUGCAAGUCGAGCGGCAGCAUGGACUUCGGUCUGAUGGCGAGCGGCGAACGGGUGAGUAACAUAUAGGAACAUACCCAGUAAUGGGGGGAUAACUCCGAGAAAUCGGAGCUAAUACCGCAUACGCCCUGAGGGGGAAAGCGGGGGAUCUUCGGACCUCGCGUUAUUGGGAAUGGCCUAUAUCUGAUUAGCUAGUUGGUGAGGUAAAAGGCUCACCAAGGCGACGAUCAGUAGCUGGUCUGAGAGGAUGAUCAGCCACACUGGAACUGAGACACGGUCCAGACUCCUACGGGUGGCUG